UACGUAGGGGGCAAACGUUAUCCGGAGUUACUGGGCGUAAAGGGCGUGUAGGCGGUUUGUUAAGUUUGGCGUGAAAGCUCUCGGCUAAACCGGGAGAGGUCGUUGGAUACUGGCAAACUAGAGGACGGUAGAGGCGUGUGGAAUUCCGGGUGUAGUGGUGAAAUGCGUAGAGAUCCGGAGGAACACCAGUGGCGAAGGCGACACGCUGGGCCGUACCUGACGCUAAAGCGCGACAGCAUGGGGAGCAAACGGG
RNAcentral lists this ribosomal RNA (253 nucleotides) under uncultured bacterium. RNAcentral describes it as "partial 16S ribosomal RNA". It matches the Rfam family "Bacterial small subunit ribosomal RNA", at positions 524 to 776 of the family's 1533-position model. The record is from RNAcentral.